Molecule: long non-coding RNA, 3147 nt
Organism: Homo sapiens (human)
Lineage: Eukaryota; Metazoa; Chordata; Mammalia; Primates; Hominidae
Exons: 3
Source: RefSeq, a predicted model, not a curated record
CUCCAGCCUGAAGCCCCUCUGGCCCAGGGAGUGACUGCAAAGUCAGCAGCACAUGGGCCAGGGCUGGCCAGCCUCUCAGCUCCACGCACCCAGACAGAAGCAUCCACAUCUGCACUCUUCAUAGCAGAGACCUCUCCCUGUUCAGGUUCUGCAUACAGAAGAGACGCCCAGAAAUAGAAGUUACAAACAUACUUUGAAAACAUUGGGAACUUGGUUCCAGACCACCACAAUAAAUUUCUAAGGAUCAGGAAUUUGGAGUAACCAACUGAAUGGUUCUGGUUCAAAGUCUCUCAAGAGGUUACUAUCAAGCUGCUGGCCCAGGGAUGGCUUGACUGGAGUAGCAUUCAUUUCCAAGCUCGUUCACACAGACAUUGGCAGACCUCAGUUUCUUGCUGACUGUUGGUUGGAGACUUCAGUUCUUCACCAUAUGGGCCUCUCCAUAGGAUUCCUGAGCGUCAUCAAAACAUGAUAGCUGCCUUCUCGCAAAACAAGUGACCUGAGAGAGUGCAUGAGGGUGACCAAAACUUAAGCUGCAAUCUCUUCAUGACCUAAUCGUGGCAGGGACAUACCAUCACUCCUGCCAUAUGCUACUGGCCACACAGACCAGCCCUGGUCUAACAGGCGGGGAUUAUACAAAGGUGUGAUUUCCCAUUGGUGGAGAUCCAAUUUGGCGGCCAACCUGGAGGCUCCCUUCCACAGUGAAAGUCUGCAAGAGCAGCAAUUUGUCCCCCUUCUUCCUGUCUGCCUGCCUACUGGUUGUACUGUUGAGUGUCCACAAGAGCUUUCCUUAAUGGGACCCUACUUAUCAUCACAGAAGCCAAGAUUUUCCAUCCAAAGUGCUAUAUUAACAACUUAAUAAAUGUUGUUCAAUUCUUUAAGUCUGUGAGACAGGUAAUACUGUCCAUACUUAAUAAAUGAAUAAGAAAAUUUAAGCAAUUUAUCCUAUCACACAUCUAGUAAGUCAUGAGACCAGGCAUUCCCAAGUUUAUCAUUCUUCAAAGCCUAGGAACUUUCUAUUGCUCUCUGCUUCCUGUGAAGCAGCUCCUGGUUCUACCAACUCUCCAGCUUGUUCUCCCACUAACCCCUCACUUCCCUCACACCAACUCCUCCCUCUACUUUCCAUCAUGCUAUAUGGAGUUUAAGGUCUUUGGGUUUCUAGUUAGUCCCACCGCUGAAAUCCUCUUGCCAAUGCCUAUACGACACUAGCCUUUUGAAAUUUCUUAAGCCUAGCCUUUAUGGCCUAGCACAAGGCAAACUCCAUAAAUAUUCCAUGCAUGCUUGAAAUGAGUGUGCUUUCAUAUUGGGUACAAUCUUUGAGUUGAGCUUGUUAAUUCUGCUACUCAAAAAUAAGUCUUUACUGAUUUUUUUGUGUGUCUGACCUAAUAAAUUACUGAAGUAUGUUAAAAUCUCCACUAUAACAGACACUAUCAAUUAUUUCUUGCAGAUCUAUAUACAUCUGUAUGUUAUUUGAUGCAUACUAGUUUUAUCUUCCAGGUAAAAUUAGUCUCUCAUCAAUAUAUAGGUACCAUAUUUACCCCAGGAGAGGAAAAAGAGGAAAAAAGAGGGAGAAGAGACAGAGAGGAAAAUAAAAAGGUGAAAGGAAGCCAACACAGAUAGGUUUAUAUGUAAGCAUCCUCCCCUCCUUGCAAAAGAAAGAUAAUUAGCCGUUCCAAUGGUCUGUAACCUGGACAGUGGUUACAAAUGCUUAAGAUGGAUUGCUUCUUUCCACCGACAUCAGUGAGAACACAGGCUUCUCUGCUGCCUCUCUCUAUGAGGCAGUCUGCUUCCCACUCAACUUUGCACUGGAGUACAGCCCAUUGGGCUUCCAGCUUUAUACAAAGGUUUCCUAUUAGAAAUUCCACCCAUGCAAGCCUGGGAUUUCGUUUUUUUUUGCCCCAUGCUCAGUGCAAAGCAGGAGUUGAAGGCUUCCAGGGUUUUUGGUUUUGCUUCAUUUGGGAUUCUGCUGGCUCUGUGUGUGUGUGGCACUCAGCAAUACAGUAACAAAAUUAUUAAAAAUAUAUUUUAUCAAGUAUUUAAAUCAAGUCUGUUGAAAGCAUUAAUCACACCCUCUCCAUAUUGCUUCUAAUCUAAUCCUUUUAUCUCCUGCAAUUCAGCUCAAAUACAGCUACUUUUAUUAAACUCUGUUCAAUUACCCUACCCCUGCCCCACAGCCAAUAGAAAUUAAUAACAUCUCCCUCGGCUUCCCACUGCACUGUUUCUGCCACAUGGAUAGCAAUUACCACACCAUACUUUACACCUUUUAGACACAUUUUUUUCUCCCAAAUAAAAAAGCCACUCCAUAACUAGGUCCUAUGUCAGUUUUCUUUGGGUUCCCAGCCCCACUCCCCCACUGCUCCAUUCCCUGCCUCCAAAGAGGGUAACAAAAUGCCUGUCUACAAACAGUGUUCCUAACUGUUAGCUUAACAUUUGUCUUUUAAGACAAAUGGCUAGAAAUUGUGACCCCAGCCUAUCCAAUCUUAAGCUAAACAGCUAGUGUGGCUCAUGAGAGCAAGUGGCCUAAAAGAGCCUUGCAUUGACUACUGUGUGGCAUACUCAAGAACACAGAGGUUUUCCAAAAGGACCUUGGAUGGGCCUCUGUCUUGAAGGACCUCUGAAAUGCUGACAUGUUUGUAAAUUCCCAUGCAACCACUUAAUAUUACCUGUAUUCAUUUAUGGAACUUUAUCAUCAUUAAACAGACUGUGAUGGAAUUAUUUCACAGAUAAAUUAGUUAGAUUUCACAUAAUACAGUAUUAAAAACUUUUGGAAAUAAUACUAUUAAGAUGAACAUGAAAAAGCAAUUCAAGUACUUUUAUCUUACAUGAGAUAUUUUGCUCAGUCUCGAGAUAUUAAUUAGGGGAGAAUAGCUUCAAGGUUAUCACCACCAAGUAGUGAGUGUGAGGGUGAAGCAUGAGUCAGCGUUUUGACAGUAGGUUAAAUGUGCCUCAAAAAAGAAAAGAGAUGACUAACCCUACACAGUGUGUACAGCUUCCUGCUAAUGCAGACAGCUAUCCAAAUGCAGCCCACAGCAGCCCACAGACACUGUUCACCAGUGAGCAUGUGUGAAUUCUAGGCCCACGCACUAGAAAACCACUACUUUAUAGCAUUUCUUAACUGAAAAUAUAUUUUCACAGAAACAACAAAGCAAA